This 254-nucleotide ribosomal RNA is filed under the name uncultured bacterium. Its description in RNAcentral is "partial 16S ribosomal RNA". It matches the Rfam family "Bacterial small subunit ribosomal RNA", at positions 524 to 776 of the family's 1533-position model. The record is from RNAcentral.
CACGUAGGGGGCGAGCGUUGUCCGGAAUCAUUGGGCGUAAAGAGCUCGUAGGCGGCUCGGUAAGUCGGGUGUGAAACCCCCAGGCUCAACCUGGGGACGCCACCCGAUACUGCUGUGGCUAGAGUCCAGUAGGGGAGUGUGGAAUUCCCGGUGUAGCGGUGAAAUGCGCAGAUAUCGGGAGGAACACCAGCGGCGAAGGCGGCACUCUGGGCUGGAACUGACGCUGAGGAGCGAAAGCGUGGGUAGCAAACGGG